GAUUAGAGAGGUACAUCUGUCAAAUGGUAAUGCAGGUCUCCUAAAGCAAGCUCAGUAAGAACAGAAAACUCCCAUGACGAAAAAAAGCUCACUUGAUNUUGAUUUUCAGUAUNAAAACAGACCACGUGAAUGG
RNAcentral lists this non-coding RNA (133 nucleotides) under Neotoma lepida (desert woodrat). RNAcentral describes it as "Eukaryotic large subunit ribosomal RNA". It matches the Rfam family "Eukaryotic large subunit ribosomal RNA", at positions 2623 to 2761 of the family's 3401-position model. Lineage: Eukaryota; Metazoa; Chordata; Mammalia; Rodentia; Cricetidae. The record is from Rfam by way of RNAcentral.